GAUGAACGCUGGCGGCGUGCUUAACACAUGCAAGUCGAACGGACAGGCUCCUACUUUCCUGGUUACUCGAUUGGCGAACGGGUGUGUAUCACGCGUGUGAACUGCCCUGCACUUCGGGAUAUGCCUUGGAAACUGGGUCUAAUACCGGAUAGGACAAUGUUUUGGAUGCCAUUCUGGAGAGAUGUUCGGUGUUGGUUGGGCUCGCGGCUAAUCCGCUUCUUAGUGGGGUAAUGGCCUACCAAGGCGGCGACCGGUAGCCGGCCUGAGAGGCGGUACGGCCACAAUGGGACUGAGAGACGGCCCAGACGGGAAUGGGAGGCAGCGGUGGGGAAUCUGACGGAAUGGGCGCAAGCCUGAGGUAGAGACGUCGGGAGCGUAAUGACGGCCUUUGGGUUGUAAACACCUGUCGAAGGAAACGUAGCGGAAGUGACGGUACCUAGAGAGGAAGCACCGGCUAACUACGUG
Molecule: ribosomal RNA, 465 nt
Filed under: uncultured bacterium
Lineage: Bacteria
Description: partial 16S ribosomal RNA
Rfam family: Bacterial small subunit ribosomal RNA
Source: RNAcentral